Megalops cyprinoides (Indo-Pacific tarpon) is the source of this 296-nucleotide long non-coding RNA. RefSeq lists it as uncharacterized. The transcript is spliced from 3 exons. The record is from RefSeq and is a predicted model, not a curated record. NCBI's taxonomy places the organism in Eukaryota, Metazoa, Chordata, Actinopteri, Elopiformes, Megalopidae.
CCGGACGCCUCUUCCCCUCGCUGCCCCCUGUGACAACGGUGUCCUCUCCCUCUCCUGCCGUACCAGCCGCCACAGCUGUGACCCCUGUCAUCACCACGCCCCUAAAUCAGUCCCAGUCCACAGGUGUCACAACCAACAGAACCACAACUGAUGCUCCUGCAACAACCACAUCCACGCUGGCAGUCAUACUUAUUACACCACCCUCAACCACACCCUCAGUGACACUCACAACCACACCCACCACAUCACUAACAACUACCAGCACCCUACCACACCCAAGCACGCCCACCACAUCA